CCUACGGGGGGCAGCAGUGAGGAAUAUUGGUCAAUGGGCGAGAGCCUGAACCAGCCAAGUAGCGUGAAGGAUGACUGCCCUACGGGUUGUAAACUUCUUUUAUAAAGGAAUAAAGUGCGGCACGUGUGCCUUUUUGUAUGUACUUUAUGAAUAAGGAUCGGCUAACUCCGUGCCAGCAGCCGGGGUAAUACGGAGGAUCCGUGCGUUAUCCGGAUGUAUUGGGUUUAAAGGGUGCGUAGGUGGGUUGUUAAGUCAGUUGUGAAAGUUUUCGGCUCAACCGUAAGAUUGCAAUUGAUACUGGGAGUCUUGAGUACAGUUGAGGUAGGCGGAAUUCGUGGUGUAGCGGUGAAAUGCUUAGAUAUCACGAAGAACUCCGAUUGCGAAGGCAGGUUACUAAACUGCAACUGACAUUGAUGCUCGAAAGUGUGGGUAUCGAACAGGAUUAGAUACCCGAGUAGUC
RNAcentral lists this ribosomal RNA (460 nucleotides) under uncultured bacterium. RNAcentral's name for it is "partial 16S ribosomal RNA". It matches the Rfam family "Bacterial small subunit ribosomal RNA", at positions 338 to 795 of the family's 1533-position model. The record is from RNAcentral.